CAGCCGUAAACUAUGCGCGUUAGGUGUAUCGGUGACCAUGAGUCACCGAGGUGCCGAAGGGAAACCGUGAAACGUGCCGCCUGGGAAGUACGGUCGCAAGGCUAGAAACUUAAAGGAAUUGGCGGGGGAGCACCCACAACGGGUGGAGCCUGCGGUUUAAUUGGACUCAACGCCGGGAAGCUCACCGGAUAAGACAGCGGAAUGAUUGCCGGGCUGAAGACCCUGCAUGACUAGCUGAGAGGAGGUGCAUGGCGUAGACGUCU
This 263-nucleotide ribosomal RNA is filed under the name uncultured archaeon. RNAcentral describes it as "partial 16S ribosomal RNA". It matches the Rfam family "Archaeal small subunit ribosomal RNA", at positions 748 to 1009 of the family's 1478-position model. The record is from RNAcentral.